This 492-nucleotide ribosomal RNA is filed under the name uncultured bacterium. Its description in RNAcentral is "partial 16S ribosomal RNA". It matches the Rfam family "Bacterial small subunit ribosomal RNA", at positions 29 to 507 of the family's 1533-position model. The record is from RNAcentral.
AGUGAACGCUGGCGGUAGGCCUAACACAUGCAAGUCGAACGGCAGCACAGUAAGAGCUUGCUCUUACGGGUGGCGAGUGGCGGACGGGUGAGGAAUACAUCGGAAUCUACUUUUUCGUGGCGGAUAACGUAGGGAAACUUACGCUAAUACCGCAUACGACCUACGGGUGAAAGCAGGGGAUCUUCGGACCUUGCGCGAUUGAAUGAGCCGAUGUCGGAUUAGCUAGUUGGCGGGGUAAAGGCCCACCAAGGCGACGACCCGUAGCUGGUCUGAGAGGAUGAUCAGCCACACUGGAACUGAGACACGGUCCAGACUCCUACGGGAGGCAGCAGUGGGGAAUAUUGGACAAUGGGCGCAAGCCUGAUCCAGCCAUACCGCGUGGGUGAAGAAGGCCUUCGGGUUGUAAAGCCCUUUUGUUGGGAAAGAAAAGCAGCAGGUUAAUACCCCGCUGUUCUGACGGUACCCAAAGAAUAAGCACCGGCUAACUUCGUG